CCUACGGGUGGCAGCAGUGGGGAAUAUUGCGCAAUGGGCGAAAGCCUGACGCAGCGACGCCGCGCGAGGGAUGAAGGUCUUCGGAUCGUAAACCUCUGUCAGCAGGGAAGAACGGUCACUGUGCUAAUCAGCAGUGAAUUGACGGUACCUGCAAAGGAAGCACCGGCUAACUCCGUGCCAGCAGCCGCGGUAAUACGGAGGGUGCGAGCGUUAAUCGGAAUUACUGGGCGUAAAGCGCUCGUAGGCGGUAUGGCAAGUCAAGGGUGAAAUCCCCGCGCUCAACGUGGGAACUGCCUUUGAAACUGGCAAACUGGAGUGUGUGAGAGGAUAGUGGAAUUCCAGGUGUAGGAGUGAAAGCCGUAGAUAUCUGGAGGAACAUCAGUGGCGAAGGCGACUAUCUGGCACAUAACUGACGCUGAGGAGCGAAAGCGUGGGUAGCAAACAGGAUUAGAUACCCCAGUAGUC
RNAcentral lists this ribosomal RNA (465 nucleotides) under uncultured bacterium. Its description in RNAcentral is "partial 16S ribosomal RNA". It matches the Rfam family "Bacterial small subunit ribosomal RNA", at positions 338 to 795 of the family's 1533-position model. The record is from RNAcentral.